GACGAACGCUGGCGGCGUGCCUAACACAUGCAAGUCGAACGGAGUUAAGCCCUUCGGGACUUAACUUAGUGGCGAACGGGUGAGUAACGCGUGAGCAAUCUGCCUUCGAGUGGGGGACAACAGUUGGAAACGACUGCUAAUACCGCAUAAGACCACGCUUCCGCAUGGAAGAGCGGUCAAAGGAUUUAUUCGCUUGAAGAUGAGCUCGCGUCCGAUUAGAUAGUUGGUGAGGUAACGGCCCACCAAGUCGACGAUCGGUAGCCGGACUGAGAGGUUGAACGGCCACAUUGGGACUGAGACACGGCCCAGACUCCUACGGGAGGCAGCAGUGGGGAAUAUUGGGCAAUGGGCGAAAGCCUGACCCAGCGACGCCGCGUGAGGGAAGACGGUCUUCGGAUUGUAAACCUUUGUCAACAGGGAAGAAACAAAUGACGGUACCUGUGGAGGAAGCCACGGCUAACUACGUG
This 467-nucleotide ribosomal RNA is filed under the name uncultured bacterium. Its description in RNAcentral is "bacterial SSU rRNA". It matches the Rfam family "Bacterial small subunit ribosomal RNA", at positions 28 to 507 of the family's 1533-position model. The record is from RNAcentral.